GCCAGAUGCAGUGGCGCCCACCUGUUAUCCCAGAGGCUCAGGAGGCUGAGACAGGAGGAUGGCAAGUUCAAAGCCAGCCUCAGCAAUUUAGGGAGGCUCUCAGCAACUUAGCCAGACCCUGUCUCUA
Molecule: small RNA, 127 nt
Filed under: Marmota monax (woodchuck)
Lineage: Eukaryota; Metazoa; Chordata; Mammalia; Rodentia; Sciuridae
Source: RNAcentral